This 3164-nucleotide long non-coding RNA is filed under the name Equus caballus (horse). RNAcentral's name for it is "lncRNA (ENSECAG00000052239.1)". The record is from RNAcentral. Lineage: Eukaryota; Metazoa; Chordata; Mammalia; Perissodactyla; Equidae.
CUUUCCCUUUGCUCUGUUUCUACCUCUCCCUUUCUGUCUCUUCAAGAUCGUUUUUGGAUCCUUACUGGACAGGACUUGGGGAAGCCGACCUUCUCCUACCGCUCUCUCCCUGCCUGCGCGUGCUCGCCGCUCAAUCUAACGCGGACGUUACUGCCGGCGGCUGAGAACCGGGGGCCGGAGCACAGCGGUGCUGGAACCCACAAACGCGCCGCCCGCGCCCGCGCGCCCCGCGAGCUCGGGUCAAACUGAAUCAACGCCUCUCGACGCUUCUGUGCAGGCGCCGCUGGAGGCGUGUGUGGGGCUCCUGACCCGGCGAGAGGGGCCGCGCUGAGGGGGCUUCGCCACUGGCCCUGGAGGACAGGACCGGAAGAGGCUGAUGUUGACGGGCAGAGCCAAAGGAAGUCUCUACGGCGGCCCAACCCCAGGAUCCUGAGAUUAAAGGUCUCAAACCCUAAAGUCUUAACGGACGAGGGUUGGGAGUUGACUCGAUCUCCACGCCUUUAUCAGGAGAUUCGUUUGCCAAGAUCAGAGACUAAGAAAGAGAAAAGAUUGUGUGGACUAAAGUCCGCAAUUAACCAGAGAGGAAACACGAUUUUGUGCCAGAUUGGACGUGCGGUGUGAGAGAAAGGCCGGCGUCAAGUCUUUUGGCCUGAGCCUGCCAUCAACUAAGGUGGGAAAACUGCAGGUGCAGCAGGUUGUAAGGGAAAGAUCCAGAAUGCAGUUCUGGGGUCCCUCAGCCUUCCUGGAAAGAGUUUUCCAUCCAUGCCGUCUCGGUCCCCGCAUCCCUGAGGGUCCUUUAUGAUGUUGGGGAUCCCAGAGUCUCACCCUGGGCACCUUCCCUCCCGCCCUCUCCUGGCAACUUUUUCCACUCCCCGGCUCCGCCGACCUUCUCUCCACACGUGGGCGCUUCACAGAGGCGCGUCUCCAGGGCAGGUCAGAGGAGCCGCCGGUAAGAGGAAACUGGCUGUGGGACUGGGACUGGCGGACCUGGGGGCCUCGCGGGCGCAUCAGUGUCCCGGCACGGGGCUGGAUGCGUGCUGUGCGGGCUCGCCUUUUGGAGAAAGCAGGGAGGAGAUGGCCUUCAGGAACAAUUCCUUAAAAGGGCAGGCGACACUGGAAAGGGUAGACCCACGAAUUUUUCUUGAGGAACACAGACCAAGGAGUUUAACACUUGCACUUGACGAGUUACAACAGCAGCCAGGGGACCAUUUUAUCUCCUUGACUGGGAGCUCAGGGUGUGCAGAGGUGGAACCAGCCUGUGAAGUCAAUUGGAACAGUGGGAAGGCCUCUCAUUACCUGGGCCAGGAUGAGGGGAAGAGAGGGAUCAGGGGGGCAUGGAGGGAGCAGCCCCACAACAGUAAGCACAGCUCUUCAAUUGCUUUCAGUUUUAAGAGGCCACCUACUCAGUUUCAACAAAGUUUUAGCAACAACUAAAACACCAUUUACGUGGCUGUUUUCGAUCCUUCCUUGUCACUACUCAGCCUCCAAAUGUUCAUUAACUUGUGGGACAGUUGGAGGACCCUUACUCCCCCCCACACACAUAGCCACCACUUAGGCAAGAAGACCUUGGAGAGCCUUCUCGUACUCCCUAACGUAGCCCACACAGUCCCUUCUGUAUUUUCUCCAAGAGGGUAUUGUGACCUUACUGGCCCCACGUUGGACACCAAACCUGUCAAGCAGUCUAGCAGUCCCUAGGCAAUAGUAUAGUGGCAGCUGCUAGGUGCGCUUGUCACAUUUCUGUAGACUUGACCAAUAAGGAGACAAUCUCAAAUGAAUUGAGGUGGUUUAUUGCUUACACACACAGCAUAAACAGGUGUAGCACAUUGUCAGCUCCACACAUCCAUAAUCCCACGGCCUGACACCACACUGGAGGGAUCAGAAGACAAGAAGAUACAAGUGGUGGCUUGCUCUGUUGUGAAGGAGCUAAUUUCAUAUUGCAGCUAAGCAGUUUUAUAGUUUGUAGUUGCACCCUGGGGGUGGGGGUGGAGGGAAGGUAGAAAUUUCCCUGUCUCCCCGGAACCAGGGAGGCAGGUGACAAACUGCCUAGUGGCAGCCUGCUCUAAGACAGGGAACCUCCCACAAGACAUCAGUGAGAAAUAGCCUUCUGAUAGCGCCUCACAAGAUUGUCUAUCUUUCCGUGUUCCAGAAGGGCAUUCGGCCAAGACUUGGGUCAGACUACAGUUGAGCCUGGCCUAUGUGGCCUACAUGGAGAAGUAUAAUGUCAUCAGAGUGUCAUAGCGGAGCCAUUCCCCUGUACCUUGACCCUUGAAAAGGAGCUUGGCUGGAUAUAUCUUCAAUUGGCACUUUCUUGAUAUAAAUUUCUUGAAACUGCUCCUCCCUUGUUGCCUUGCUUUGUAUGUUAAUGCUCAUCUAAUUCUAUUGCUUUUGUAACUUAUUUGAUAGUUUUGCCUGGAGAAACUGAGGAUAUUUUCUUUAUCUGUAAAGUCCAAUAAUUUUACUAUGAUAUUUUCUUGAAGUUGGUCAUCUGGGGUCAAUUCUCCCUGAUAGCUGAUGAGCCCUUUCAGUGUGCCUCAUCCCUUAAGUAACCUAUUGUUUUCCUUUUUAUAAAUCAAGUCUUCUAGAUUGUUCUCUCUAAAGCCUGAUUCCUGUUUAGAGAAAAAUCUUAAAAAACAAGAAAUUAGGCAUUACAUUACAAUUUUUAUUCAACAAAUACAGAGAUUCCCAAAUAAGUUAAAACAAAAUAGUAAAACAACCCUGAUGAUUUCAACACAGUAUUGCGAGCAAAGAACUUAAAAAGAAAUCACUAUCAGUUUAUAAACAAAGUGUAGAAAGACAUAAUAUGUCAGAAUAAGGAAACCUUUGAACAUGAAUAAAUUUAUUAUGAAAAGGAGACAUAUAGCUAGUUUGAAUAUAGGUUUAAAAAACAAAUUUUAAGCUAUUAUUAGAUGAAAAAAUUUUGGAAGAAAAUUAAUGACCCAUUGUCUCUAACCCGUUAACACCCGUUACUCUAAACUUGGCAUCUUUCUGAGAAGCUUCCUAAUGUGUCAUGCGAUGUAAAGAAAACCGGAUAAACCGUCCCUAGAUUCUGUCGCUCAUUUCCUCUUUUGAAAAGUGUAAUUUUCAGGCUCACACCUCUUGACCCACAUUGCCUGGUACACGGAAUCCCCGGAACACCGAUGGGCCCACUGUGGGGACAGGCGGAG